RNAcentral lists this small RNA (27 nucleotides) under Bombyx mori (domestic silkworm). RNAcentral describes it as "ovarian small RNA-35887". Lineage: Eukaryota; Metazoa; Arthropoda; Insecta; Lepidoptera; Bombycidae. The record is from RNAcentral.
UGUGAUAAUGACGAUGAUAGUAAUGAU